CGUAAAGGGUGAGUAGGCCGGUAACGUGUGUCAGAUGUGAAAGGCGAGGGCUCAACCCUCGUUAGCAUUUGAAACUGCGUAACUUGAGUGCAGGAGAGGUAAGUGGAAUUCCUAGUGUAGCGGCUGAAAUGCGUAGAUAUUAGGAGGAACACCAGUGGCGAAGGCGACUUACUGGACUGUAACUGACGCUGAGUCACGAAAGCGUGGGGAGCGAACAGGAUUAGAUACCCUGGUAGUCCACGCUGUAAACGAUGAGUGCUAGGUGUUGGCCGAGAGGUCAGUGCCGGAGUAAACGCAAUAAGCACUCCGCCUGGGGAGUACGGUCGCAAGACUGAAACUCAAAGGAAUUGACGGGGACCCGCACAAGCAGCGGAGCAUGUGGUUUAAUUCGAAGCAACGCGAAGAACCUUACCAAGGCUUGACAUCCCCUUGACAAGUGCAGAGAUGUACUCUCUCCUUCGGGAGCAAGGGUGACAGGUGGUGCAUGGUUGUCGUCAGCUCGUGUCGUGAGAUGUUGGGUUAAGUCCCGCAACGAGCGCAACCCUUGUCAUUAGUUGCCAGCAUUAAGUUGGGCACUCUAAUGAGACUGCCGGUGAUAAACCGGAGGAAGGUGGGGACGACGUCAAAUCAUCAUGCCCCUUAUGUCUUGGGCUACACACGUGCUACAAUGGUCGGAACAAAGGGAAGCGAAGGCGUGAGCCGGAGCGAAACCUCAUAAACCGAUCCCAGUUCGGAUUGUAGGCUGCAACUCGCCUACAUGAAGUCGGAGUUGCUAGUAAUCGCGAAUCAGAACGUCGCGGUGAAUGCGUUCCCGGGUCUUGUACACACCGCCCGUCACACCAUGGAAGUUGGUAAUACCCAAAGUCGAUGAGCUAACCGUAAGGAGAGCAGUCGCCUAAGGUAGGAUCAAUGACUGGGGUG
Molecule: ribosomal RNA, 921 nt
Filed under: uncultured bacterium
Lineage: Bacteria
Description: bacterial SSU rRNA
Rfam family: Bacterial small subunit ribosomal RNA
Source: RNAcentral